GCUGGUGAUUUGUCGGAAGGGUCACACCCGUUCCCAUUCCGAACACGGAAGUUAAGCCUUCACGAGCCGAUGGUACUCGCAAGGGGAGAGUAGGUUGUCGCCAGCG
RNAcentral lists this ribosomal RNA (106 nucleotides) under Minisyncoccota bacterium. The record is from RNAcentral. Lineage: Bacteria; Bacillati; Minisyncoccota.